This 492-nucleotide long non-coding RNA is filed under the name Panax ginseng (ginseng). RNAcentral's name for it is "long non-coding RNA (PGIN_LNC017119)". The record is from RNAcentral. Lineage: Eukaryota; Viridiplantae; Streptophyta; Magnoliopsida; Apiales; Araliaceae.
UUUUGGGAGACACUACCUCGAUAAAAAGAAUAUACAGUGUCCUCACUGCUCAGCAUUGCAUUGGAAAGCCAAAAAGUUAUCAAAUUCAUCUGUUGACCGCCCUUUCUUCGGAACAUGUUAUUGGAGAUAUAACUAAACGAUUGAAUGUAUUAGACUGCAUGAUGCCUGGAUGAUCCAUCCAUCUUAUUUUUUUGAGCUAUUGUCCUUUUUAUGCUCACAUCCAUCUUAUUUUUUGAAAAUUUAUUAGACUGCAUGAUGCCUGAAUGAUCCAUCAAUAUGUAUAUUACAAUUUUACAAAAUUCAUUUGCAUCUCUCUUUUGCUACCUUUCUCUCUAUCUAACCCUUGAAGCAAUCGAUCCAAUUUUUCCAAAUUUGAGGUUUGUGAAGAAAUUUCUUAGUUUUUGACUUUUAAGGUUUGGCUUGGUAGAUCUUUGCAGUUCGUUUGGGGACGAUUAGCCAGGGUUUUUCUAAAUUCGCAAAUUUGAUUUAUCU